RNAcentral lists this ribosomal RNA (238 nucleotides) under uncultured bacterium. RNAcentral describes it as "partial 16S ribosomal RNA". It matches the Rfam family "Bacterial small subunit ribosomal RNA", at positions 96 to 334 of the family's 1533-position model. The record is from RNAcentral.
CGGCGAACGGGUGAGUAACACGUGGGUAACCUGCCCCAGACACUGGGAUAACACCGGGAAACCGGUGCUAAUACCGGAUAUUCUCGGCGGAUCGCAUGACCUGCCGAGGAAAGCUCCGACGGUCUGGGAUGGGCCCGCGGCCUAUCAGCUUGUUGGUGGGGUAACGGCCUACCAAGGCUUCGACGGGUAGCUGGCGUGAGAGCGUGGCCAGCCACACUGGGACUGAGACACGGCCCAG